GAUGAACGCUGGCGGCGUGCCUAAUACAUGCAAGUCGAGCGAACAGACGAGGAUCUUGCUCCUCUGACGUUAGCGGCGGACGGGUGAGUAACACGUGUAUAACCUACCUAUAAUACUGGUAUAUUUUCGGGAAACCGGAGCUAAUACCGGAUAAUAUAUUGAAGCGUAUUGUUCAAUGGUGAAAGACGGCUUUUCUGUCACUUAUAGAUGGAUCCCGGCCGUAUGAGAUGGUUGGUAAGGUAAUGGCUUAUCAAGGCAACGAUGCGUAGACGACCGCCGAGACUGGUCGGCGGCCUUGGAGCGGGAACGCGGUCAAGACUCCUACGGGAGGCAGCAGUAGGGAACCGUACGCAGUAGGCGAAAGCAUGACGGAACAACGCCACGUGAGUGAUGAAAGUCUUCGGAUCGGGAAACUCGGUUAUUAGGGGAAAACAGAUGUGUAAGUAAAUAUGGACGUCUUGACGGUACCUAAUCAAAAAGCCCCGGCUAACUACGUG
Molecule: ribosomal RNA, 497 nt
Filed under: uncultured bacterium
Lineage: Bacteria
Description: partial 16S ribosomal RNA
Rfam family: Bacterial small subunit ribosomal RNA
Source: RNAcentral